Molecule: long non-coding RNA, 479 nt
Organism: Arabidopsis lyrata subsp. lyrata
Lineage: Eukaryota; Viridiplantae; Streptophyta; Magnoliopsida; Brassicales; Brassicaceae
Exons: 2
Source: RefSeq, a predicted model, not a curated record
CAAGAGCCGACGGUAAUUGGGGGGUUCCGAGAUAUUGUUUCUGUGGAACCCUAGUUAGGCUUGUCGUGUGUACCACUGGAGAUAAUCAAGGAAGAAAGGAAUACAAAUGUCCAAAUUCUGAGGAUGGUGGAGAACACUUGCAUAAGUGGUGGGAUCAUGCAGUUGAUGAGGAGUUUCGUGUGAUACAUACCAAACUUGAAACUCAGAAAGAAGCAAUCCACCACGCUUACCAAAAUCCUAUGUUGGAGUCAAUUCGUCAAUCCAUACGGGAUAUGCGUGCUCAAAUCGAAGAUCUUCAGAAGCGAGCAGUGGAGAGAGAAACCGAGAUUGGUAGGCUGAAGGAGUUGCUAUCUAAGUGGUAGUAAUAACCACUUAUGUAUUUAUGUAUUUCUCUAAAUCUUUGUAGACUUCUUAUGUUUGUAAUAACCCUAUGUAGACUAAUCUCCUUUAUUUCCUAUUAGUUUCUUAAGUUUGAACUA